Molecule: unclassified non-coding RNA, 244 nt
Filed under: uncultured Lactarius
Lineage: Eukaryota; Fungi; Basidiomycota; Agaricomycetes; Russulales; Russulaceae
Description: sequence contains ITS2
Source: RNAcentral
AAAUCUCAACCUCCUUGGUUUCUUCUGGAGGCUUGGACUUUGGAGGCCUUUGCUGGCAUCUCUCCCCAGCUCCUCUUGAAUGAAUUAGCAGGGUCCUCUUUGCCGACCCUUGACAUGUGAUAAGAUGUUUCCGUGUCUUGGUUUCUGGCUCUGUUGCCUUUGGGACCCGCUUCUAACCGUCUCGACUCGAGACAAUGUUCGAGCCCGUCUCCCUUCUUGGGAAACGCCUCUCGGCCCCACGAAC